GGCGACGUAGCUCAGAGGUAGAGCGCUUGGCUCAUAACCGAGUGGUCGGUGGUUCGAUCCCACCCGUCGCCA
This 72-nucleotide transfer RNA is filed under the name Roseobacter phage DSS3P8. It matches the Rfam family "tRNA". Rfam says of the family: Transfer RNA (tRNA) molecules are approximately 80 nucleotides in length. Their secondary structure includes four short double-helical elements and three loops (D, anti-codon, and T loops). Further hydrogen bonds mediate the characteristic L-shaped molecular structure. tRNAs have two regions of fundamental functional importance: the anti-codon, which is responsible for specific mRNA codon recognition, and the 3' end, to which the tRNAs corresponding amino acid is attached (by aminoacyl-tRNA synthetases). tRNAs cope with the degeneracy of the genetic code in two manners: having more than one tRNA (with a specific anti-codon) for a particular amino acid; and 'wobble' base-pairing, i.e. permitting non-standard base-pairing at the 3rd anti-codon position. Lineage: Duplodnaviria; Heunggongvirae; Uroviricota; Caudoviricetes. The record is from Rfam by way of RNAcentral.